Molecule: long non-coding RNA, 3204 nt
Filed under: Triticum aestivum (bread wheat)
Lineage: Eukaryota; Viridiplantae; Streptophyta; Magnoliopsida; Poales; Poaceae
Description: long non-coding RNA (TAES_LNC004518)
Source: RNAcentral
UACGACUCCGUAUCCAUCGACACCUAGAAGGCUAGAACCUUCGCCGCCGCCGGCCCCUCCCACCGGCCACCUGUGUGCCGAUGCCCCCUCCAUCUAGCCGCCACCCACAUCUGCGCCGCCUACAACGCCCCCGUUCUUCUGCGCCUCCGCCCCUAGCUCGCCCAUCCAAAGCUUAUCUCCGUCCUCCCGAGCAAGCCGCCAAACCUACAGACGAGAUACUCGAUUUUUCUGCCCUCCGUAUACGAGGUUGCCAAGCUGCCGGAUCUGGUGGAAAUCGCCCCAAUCCCAGGGUGAGCUCAUAUGGCAGCUGGCUCGAGUUAGUCUACAGACCUCCACAGCCACUACACAUGAGGUGACAGACACCUAGCCAGGCCGCCACGUAUGCGGAUGCACAGCUCGUGGAUCCGGUGGAGGUGGCCCCAAUACCAGCAUCAGCUCGUCCCGCCGCUGCCCCUAACUUGCCUACAGGCUGCCGCAGGAGUCACUCACGUGGUCGGAUUAACAACCUGGUGGUCAACUUCCCUCCAGGUAUUCUCUACAUCCAGUUACAUUAGUGCGUUCUUGCUGAGUUGAGAUAGAGCAGUUAAUUAUUUCUCUCUCAAUAUGUGUGUAUUGAGAAGAAACUACAGAGAGCAGUUUUGUUCUCUGCAUUAUGUGUAUACGGGAGCAGCAACUACCAAAACAGUGGACGAUGUGCAGUUAGCAGUUUAUUCUUCCUUAAAAGACAACAUAUUUGUGUUCCAAAUAUGUUAUUUGUUUGUGUCUUCCAUAGCAGACUUCUCAAGCCGACCUGAUUGCAUUUGUUUGUUUUUGGAAGUGCCAGUUAGUGCAAAUGUUAAAUAAUUAGACAGUUCAUAAUUUGGAUUUGCACAUUCUUUCCUAGCUAGCUGGUAAGAAAUAUGGUUUAUUCAACUAAUUGCAUCCAGAACUCUUUCUACAUAAAUGUUAUUUCAACGGACAUGGGCUGUGGACGGUGGUUACUACUCAUGUCAUGGAUCGUGGAGUCUGACAAAUUAUGAUUUUUGUUUCUAAGUGUUUAUUCAAACUAUUGAUUGUUAAAAUUCAGAAACAGGCAAGUAUUCUGUAGCGUGAUGAUGUAACAUUUGGUAUGGUGGUAACUGAAAAUUCAGGAGUAUUUUAGACUUUUCAUCUUCUAACUUAUGUAGGCAGCUGGCUUACGCACAAUACUAAGUUGUUCCAAACCCGCCAUAAGCAUUCUAGCAUGAAUAUCUUCCUAGCAAUAUCCCCACCUUUUUGUAGGUGCAGAAAUUGAAAUACUGGAGAAGCACACAGACUUAUAAAGCGGGAGUUUUGUUAGACAUAAAGAGGAAAGAAUAUAUGUUUUUUGUUGCCCUUCAACAUCUAAUCUACUUCAUUAGAGACCAAGGUAUUGGUGUUGAUGAAGAGUAAGAACGUCUCUACAUAUCAUCAACUCCCGCUUCAUCUUUGUUAAGCAAUGCCUAUUUGUGCAAUUGACCUCAAUACCAUGCCUGCCAUAACUUUGUGAUAAAAUAAUUUGUUGGCACCCCAAAAUUUAGUAAUGAUAUAGAUCGGUUUCGGAAUAUACUACUAUUAGACAAGGAUGCCACUUUUAUUGCUGAGUUGACAUCAAAACUGGAAGAUGCAAGUCACUGUAUAGUUCUAUAAAAUGUCUGUCGGCUUUGUUUGAUAGGUACAUCUCCAUCAGUUAGUGUGCAUUCCAUAUAAAAUGCAUCACAAGUGUUGUCAAUUGUUUGUUCCUUUGUCUAGGUAUACUAUGGACCCUCUAUAGGCACAUUUCCCCCUUUUGCCUAAAUAUAUUACAGAACCUAUCAAAUGUGCUUUGUGUGGUUAAGAUGUGGAGGAUGGACUAGCUGGUACGGUCUACCACAGGUGUCAUCCUAUCCAGCCCUGUGCAUCAAUCUCCCAUGGUAGCAAAUUGUUUUCGUUGUAGUCUAUCUUAGUGCACCAACGGACAUUGUGUGUUAUCUCUUUUGUGUUUUCUGUGCUUUUUUGUACCAUAAUUUUCCCAGUGCCAAUUAUGCAUGUGCAUACAAUACGGUUUGAACCUGUAUAUACUCUCUUAUGUAUUCAAGUUUUAUAUCAAGUACUUUUAAUUACGUUUUCCUUUUUUUUUCAUGUUCGUUCUCUUGGCCGAUUGCUGAUUGUGAUAUGUUUGUGGGACUAUAAUGCACUUAGCAAACUGUUUUAGCAAUAUUUGGUAUUGGCUGACACACUUGCAAUAUUGCAGAAUUCUAUGCUACAAGAUAAAAUUAAGUGAUUUGGAACGCUACAAUAUCAAUUCGUUUACCCAUGGGCGGCAUGCUACUUCGUAUAAUGCUCACAGACAUGGAGAGAUGACGAUGCGUGACAUGGAAGGGUGACCGAGUAGGAAAUGCACUAGCAGGUUCAGUCAGUAGUCGUCAUACCUCCAUUGCACAGAUUCGUGGGGACAAGUAUUGGUAUUGUCGCAUUGUCGUUCUUCUAUUAUUGAUAGUAAAGGUUAGGUUAAAGUGAUGUGCUUAAUAUGUCACUAUUUCUAGCAGAGAAUGGUGUGUGGGCUGGAGGGUGAAGCACAUGUUAAGCGAGGAGGAGCUGAAGACAGAGACUUAUUUGGAUUGUCAUUGCAAUUGCCAAAUGCGUGUGUGGAAAGAUUUUCUUUGUCACAUGCUCUAUGCACUAUAGGAUAGAGCAAGGAAUGAUAAAGCACAGGAAGUCCUCCUGAAAGGUGAAUAUGGAGAAGAAACCGUUUGGCUUAGAAGAAGGGUUUUUUAGUUGGAAACCGUAUGUUCGAUUGUGCUCGACGUGUAUUGAUCAACAAUAUAACAUCAUUUUGAUCAAUAUCUCGGUACAUUUUAUUAUUGUUUUGUAGCAAUGUACUCACUCUUGACUAGUACAAUUUAAGUAAAUUAUGUUCCACAUCGUCUUUUGUGAUUCCGUUGCGUAUCACGGGCAUCUUACUAGUAAUUUAUAAAGUGACAGGCAUAAGCAGCAUGGAACAUACACUAAGUGAUAAGCUAAUGCAUGUCCAUAAAUUGAGCCAGAACCAAGGUACAAUAUAGCAACCUUCGAGCGCUAACCACAGUAUCUAAACCGCUCAUCAAGCAUAUUGCAACUAAUCCUAAGUCGGCAUGUGAUUAGAAGAAAUGCAAAAACAAACAAAGCCAUAGAACACAGGAAAGAUAUGCAAAUAUUUAAUAUGACACUCUGCACAUUCAAUAGGAG